Long non-coding RNA from Schistocerca gregaria, 443 nucleotides. RefSeq lists it as uncharacterized. Lineage: Eukaryota; Metazoa; Arthropoda; Insecta; Orthoptera; Acrididae. The transcript has 3 exons. The record is from RefSeq and is a predicted model, not a curated record.
CGCGUCUUGAAUACGCUUCAGGACCUCCAAUGGUUCGAUAUCGACCCCAAAGAGUCUCCAAGCGCUUUUCGCUCCGAAGAAAAAACAAAGACCUCGACGAAAUCUAUGACAGCAUAGCUGGCCCCUCCAAGGCUCAAAAAGCGCGCUCUACAGCGGACUUAAGCCUUCCUGGUUCAGGACAAUUCUAUUGUGUAGUUUGCGAUCGACACUUUCAAGACCAAAAGGCUCGAGAUUCCCACCUCAAAACCAAGAAACACGUCAGGCGUGCAAAACGCCUAGAAACACCCCCAUACACAGGCGAGGAACACUUAAAAAUCGAUAAUGGUCCAACGUCGCUCGCCGUGCCCGGGCCGAGUCAAGAAUAGAUAUAUGCGACAGUUAUCACAACACUUUUCCUGAACUGAUAACUUUUAGCAUCUCCCUUGCCAAUAAAAUACUUUACU